RNAcentral lists this small nuclear RNA (24 nucleotides) under Arabidopsis thaliana (thale cress). RNAcentral's name for it is "snRNA_07703". Lineage: Eukaryota; Viridiplantae; Streptophyta; Magnoliopsida; Brassicales; Brassicaceae. The record is from RNAcentral.
UGCUGAAGACAAGUCAAUUAGGGC